CGGGUGAGUAAUGCCUAGGAAUCUGCCUGGUAGUGGGGGACAACGUUUCGAAAGGAACGCUAAUACCGCAUACGUCCUACGGGAGAAAGCAGGGGACCUUCGGGCCUUGCGCUAUCAGAUGAGCCUAGGUCGGAUUAGCUAGUUGGUGAGGUAAUGGCUCACCAAGGCGACGAUCCGUAACUGGUCUGAGAGGAUGAUCAGUCACACUGGAACUGAGACACGGUCCAGACUCCUACGGGAGGCAGCAGUG
RNAcentral lists this ribosomal RNA (250 nucleotides) under uncultured Pseudomonas sp. RNAcentral's name for it is "partial 16S ribosomal RNA". It matches the Rfam family "Bacterial small subunit ribosomal RNA", at positions 103 to 356 of the family's 1533-position model. The record is from RNAcentral. Lineage: Bacteria; Pseudomonadati; Pseudomonadota; Gammaproteobacteria; Pseudomonadales; Pseudomonadaceae.